Acanthosepion pharaonis is the source of this 86-nucleotide non-coding RNA. Lineage: Eukaryota; Metazoa; Mollusca; Cephalopoda; Sepiida; Sepiidae. The record is from the annotation of a GenBank genome assembly.
AUCCCAUAUGACCACCAGAGUUAAGUAACAUUGAACCUUGUCAGUACCUAGAUGGGUGACCACUUGGGAAUACCUGGUGUUGUAAG